GCCGGGCAUGGUGGUGCGUGCCUGUAAUCCCAGCUACCUGGGAGGCUGAGGUUGGAGGAUGGCUUGAGCCCAGGAGGCAGAGAUUGCAGUGAGCCAAGAUUGUACCACUCCACUCCAGCCUGAGCGAAAGAGCCAGACCUUGUCUCAA
RNAcentral lists this non-coding RNA (148 nucleotides) under Pan troglodytes (chimpanzee). The record is from Rfam by way of RNAcentral. Lineage: Eukaryota; Metazoa; Chordata; Mammalia; Primates; Hominidae.